GUUGAUCCUGCGGGAGGUUGCUGCUAUUAGGAUUCGACUAAGCCAUGCAAGUCUUCUAGCAAUAGAGGCAAACUGCUCAGUAACACGUCAAUAAUUUGCCCUUAGGUCUGGGAUACCCUUGGGAAACUAAGGUUAAUACCAGAUAGAGUAAGAGUACUGGAAUGUCAUUACUUGAAAAGUAAUGCCUAAGGAUAAGAUGGCGGCCGAUUAGGUUGUUGGUGAGGUAACGGCUCACCAAGCCAAAGAUCGGUAGGGGCCCCGAAAGGGGUAGCCUCGAGAAGGGUACUUAGACACUGACCCUAGCCCUACGGGGUGCAGCAGGCGCGAAACCUUUACAAUGCACGCAAGUGUGAUAAGGGAAUCCUAAGUGCUCUGCUUAUAGCAGGGCUUUUUUGCCAAAUGUAAAUAGUUUGGAGAAUAAGUGGUGGGCAAGACUGGUGCCAGCCGCCGCGGUAACACCAGCGUCCACAAGUGGCAACCAUUUUUAUUGGGCCUAAAGCGUCCGUAGCCUGUUUAGUAGAUUCUUUGUGAAAUUGUUAAGCUUAACUUAACAACGUGCAGAGGAGACCGCUAAACUUGGAACCGGGAGGGGUUAGAGGUAUUCUGUGGGGAGCGGUAAAAUGUUAUAAUCCUCAGAGGACCACCUGUGGCGAAGGCGUCUAACCAGAACGGAUUCGACGGUGAGGGACGAAAGCUAGGGGAGCAAUCCGGAUUAGAUACCCGAGUAGUCCUAGCUGUAAACUCUGCGAGCUGGGUGUUGCAUAUUCUUAGUGGAUGUGCAGUGUCGAAGCGAAGGUGUUAAGCUCGCCGCCUGGGAAGUAUGGUCGCAAGACUGAAACUUAAAGGAAUUGGCGGGGGAGCACUACAAGGGGUGCGGCGUGCGGUUUAAUCUAAUUCAACGCAGAGAAUCUCACCAGAAGCGAUGGCAGGAUGAAGGUCAGUCUAAAGGGCUUACCUAACGAGCCGAGAGGUAGUGCAUGGCCGCCGUCAGCUCGUGCCGUAAGGUGUCCUGUUAAGUCAGGCAACGAGCGAGACCUGUGCUUACAAUUGCUAACGAGUCUGCAAAGAUGAUCGAGCACAUUGUAAGAACUGCCUCUGAAAAGGGGAGGAAGGUGCAGGCUACGGUAGGUCUGUAUGCUCCGAAUCUUCUGGGCUACACGCGCGCAACAAUGGUAAGGACAAUGGGAUACGACUCUGAAAAGAGAAGUUAAUCCUCGAAACCUUAUCUCAGUCCAGAUUGAGGAUUGUAACUCAUCCUCAUGACGCUGGAAUCCCUAGUAAUCGGAGUUUAUCAUACUCCGGUGAAUAUGUCCCUGCUCCUUGCACACACCGCCCGUCAAGCCACCCGAGUAGGGUU
This 1357-nucleotide ribosomal RNA is filed under the name metagenome. Its description in RNAcentral is "bacterial SSU rRNA". It matches the Rfam family "Archaeal small subunit ribosomal RNA". The record is from RNAcentral.